This 194-nucleotide small nuclear RNA is filed under the name Tolypocladium ophioglossoides CBS 100239. Its description in RNAcentral is "U2 spliceosomal RNA". It matches the Rfam family "U2 spliceosomal RNA". From Rfam's summary of the family: U2 is a small nuclear RNA (snRNA) component of the spliceosome (involved in pre-mRNA splicing). The record is from Rfam by way of RNAcentral. Lineage: Eukaryota; Fungi; Ascomycota; Sordariomycetes; Hypocreales; Ophiocordycipitaceae.
UUAGCUCUCUUUGCCUUUUGGCUUAGAUCAAGUGUAGUAUCUGUUCUUUUCAGUUUAAUCUCUGUUACGUCUCUACUUGAGACAAUCUUUGAUUAUUCCUAUUUUUGGCCAUCGGGUGGCUUCCUCUGUGCUUGCGCAUGGGGCCGCUCACUGUGUCCCUGGUAUUACACUACCUCCAGGUGAUGCGAACUUGG